CCUCGGUGAUGAUUCGAUGACGAGUCAGAAGGGGGCGCUCUCACUGCUCACUCUCCGUUCUGAGCUUGCGUUCUGCGGUUCGGUCUGGACCGUGAGCAGCUCUGAGGCCCCCUGCCCUGAAGACCAUCGAGGCAUUUGUCUGAGAGGC
Boleophthalmus pectinirostris (great blue-spotted mudskipper) is the source of this 148-nucleotide small nucleolar RNA. NCBI's taxonomy places the organism in Eukaryota, Metazoa, Chordata, Actinopteri, Gobiiformes, Gobiidae. The record is from RefSeq and is a predicted model, not a curated record.